GCCGGGCGUGGUGGCGUGCACCUGUAAUUCCAGCUACUCGGAAGGCUGAGGCAGAAGAAUCGCUUGAACCCGGGAGGUGGAGGUUGCAGUGAGCUGAGAUUGCGCUGCUGCACUCCAGCCUGGGCAACAGAGCGAGAUUCUGUCUCAA
Unclassified non-coding RNA from Macaca fascicularis (crab-eating macaque), 148 nucleotides. It matches the Rfam family "Metazoan signal recognition particle RNA". From Rfam's summary of the family: The signal recognition particle (SRP) is a universally conserved ribonucleoprotein. It is involved in the co-translational targeting of proteins to membranes. Lineage: Eukaryota; Metazoa; Chordata; Mammalia; Primates; Cercopithecidae. The record is from Ensembl.